Molecule: long non-coding RNA, 2762 nt
Filed under: Capsicum annuum
Lineage: Eukaryota; Viridiplantae; Streptophyta; Magnoliopsida; Solanales; Solanaceae
Description: long non-coding RNA (CANN_LNC018851)
Source: RNAcentral
GUGCUAUGAAAUUCGACUUUGGUCAUCGUGGAUCUUUAAUGUCACUUGCGUAUGAUUCCUGAGCAUUCGUUUCUCUGUGUUUCCAUAAAAAAGUAGCAUAUCUUUUGCAGAGUAAUCUAUCAUCAAGUCCAUCAUUUGAAACUUGUAAUUCAUCGCUCAAAUACUCGACGUAAGUGGUAACAAAGAGACUACAUUCCCUGCAUUUAUAAAAAUCAGAUAAUCUAUAUCUUGUAAUUAAUGUAAGAGUUGUGAAAUUUAUGAAAAGAAACUAAAUCAUGAUAUUUACAGGCUACCACUGAAUUGUUGAACAAUUCCUUCAACAUAUUCUACAUCAAAUGGAUCACCCAUUUUAUCCCAAUAUGCUUCAAUCGUCGACCAAUCAGUACCAAUUUUUUUGUCAAAAAAGCCACUUAUAUCAGGUAAGUAGGCAAUAUUUUGGCCAGGUUUUGUAUCUCAGACGACAGUCCAGAACAUCUCCUUCGUGACAUUGAGUCAUAAACUUAGAUGUGCCUCUCUUUUAAAAUAAUGACAACCAACAUCCAAUGGAACUCAUCACCACAAUUGAUUGGGAUGUACACUUCGUCAACUAAGUGCCAAGGUAAGCCAGUUGGAAUGCUAAAACCUUUAAUGAUGUUGAUUAAACAUUUCUCAUUUUGGGAAACUUUUAGCUGUUGUUGACAAAGAUCGUAGGCCUUAUAGAUGUAAACUUUGAACAAACAGUUGCCUAUUAUGUAUCUAUAUUGUUGUUGUGUUUGCAACUUGGCCUUCUUUUGGAGGUAGUAAAAAAUAACAUCGAUGUGUUGUACAUUUCAGAUUACGUAAUAAUAAUAAAUAGAUAUAAUUAAAUAUAGUGUUAAUAGUAAGAUAUAUAUAUAUAUAUAUAUAUACACACACACAUAUUUCAGAUUACGUAAUAAUAAUUUUAUCAAAGGUUACGUAUUUGUUUAUUAAUUUUAGUAUAACAUAAUCUGAAAUGUGUGUGUGUAUAUAUAUGUGUGUUAUUUAAACCUCAUCAUUCUAGAAAGUUUGAGGCUAUGAAAUCAAAUAGAACCAAUUCUUCAUUUUGGGAUAAGCAACAACAAAGUCGAACAUAUCAAAACCAAGACCCGAUUGGUUCACUUUGUAAUGUACGUGUUUUCUGCAUGAUUUAUAUGUGUUAAUAUUGUUUUUUACAACAAGAAUUUUAUAAAUCAAUAUUUUUAAAAAUGACUUAUGUAUCUGUUGGCAUAAAGCUUCUUUAACAACCCAUCGACAAUUCAUUCUAAAUAGUCGUUGAUUAACUUUGUUCUUUUGGAUUGACAGACUUUACUUUUUAUUCCUCGUUGGAAAUAGUUGAUGGAUUAUCAACUGUGGUAUGUUGUUCAACAGUAGCUUCUACUGUGACAUCCAUCUGGAAAGCCAAAAUUAUCAGUGCUAAUCACAGAGAUACAAAAAAUGAGAAAAAGAUAACUCAUCAAUUGGAAGAAAUCAAAUAGGUCUUCCUACUAUUUUAAUCUGUUCAAACAGAUGACCCAUCUAUUUUAACAUAUAGGUUAUCUAUUGGAUAAAUUAAAAGACGAGGAAGAACUGAAUGAGAAUUUCCAAAAGAUGGCCCAUCUAUUACACAAAUAACUCAUCUAUUGUAACAAACUAAAAAAGUAGGGAAGUCUUGAUAUAAUUUAUCCCAAUAGAUUACCCAUAUGUACAGAUGGGUCAUCUGUUGGGACAAAUUAAAAUAGUUGGAAACCUUUUUGAUUUCCUCUAAUAGAUAAGACAUACUUUGCAACAUAUAAUGCGUCUGAUGCAACAAGUUAGUCAUCUGUUGCAAUAGAUAUAUAUAUCUAUUUAAUAAUUUUCAGCAAAUGUGUCAUACGUUGAAAUAAAUGUUUAGUUUGUUUGUUUGUUGGAACAGAUGAUAAAUAUUCACCUUCUUUAGAUCAUGCUACUCUCUUGUGGCCCUCGUACAUUACCCAAAAGUGCAAGAUAAAGCCAGAGGAGUUGUAAUUUUGCAUUAUUUGAUGCUUGAUAAUGCCUUGGAAAUUUCUUUCCUUCUCCUCUUAGCUGCCUUAAUAUCUAAUGAAGUGUAUGGAUAUGAAAUCCUCUUAUAUGAAAUGACACCCCUCUUAGAUGUCAAUACCUUUACAGAAGCAGUUAAUGCAUUAAUAGCAUUAAUUACUCUAUCAUAUUUUGCCUUGCAGUUUUGACAUUUGUAAGCAGAACAUUCGUUAAGAGGGGAAAAAUUUAUAAAACCAGUAUGAUCAUAAUUAUAUGAUUUAUUAUUUCAAAAACUACAAAAGGAGCAUCAUUAGCCCCAACAGUAGCACCACUACCACUACCACCAUCAAUAGCUUCAUUACCACUAAUACCAUCAACAACAACAAGCCCACCACCCAAAAUUAUUUUUCUUAUGAUGUUUGUUGCUCCAAACAAUUUUUUUUUACUCUAUCAAUAACUUUACGGUCCGAUAAAAUUUGUACAUACUGUAAAUUAAGAAAAAUGAUAUCUUUAACUCUCGAUUGGUCGAAACAAGUUAUGGAUGCACAAUCUAAAAUAAAUUAGUACAAAUAUUAGAAUGAUGAUUAAAUCAUUUAAAAAAAUCAUUAAUUAAAGCAAAAACUUAAUUAGAAUUAGACUUACUGCUUCCUUUGGGGGUUGAAGAGAUCAAGAAAUUUUACUUUUUUAUCAGUUUUGGUCGACAACCAUCUCAGGAUUCUUGGUCAUGAAACUUCUUCCUAGUAGUUUACUUGUUAUCUCAAAUAAGGAAUGACUUCAAAUGCCCAAGC